GUAGGGUGCGAGCGUUAUCCGGAAUCAUUGGGCGUAAAGAGCUCGUAGGCGGUUCAGCAAGUCGGCUGUGAAAUUCCGAGGGCUCAACCUCGGAACUGCAGUCGAUACUGCUGUGACUCGAGUCCGGUAGAGGAGAAUGGAAUUCCCGGUGUAGCGGUGAAAUGCGCAGAUAUCGGGAGGAACACCAGUAGCGAAGGCGGUUCUCUGGGCCGGCACUGACGCUGAGGAGCGAAAGCGUGGGUAGCAAACAGGAUUAGAUACCCUGGUAGUCCACGCCGUAAACGUUGGAUACUAGGUGUGGCGUUCCGACCAACGGUCGCCGUGCCGAAGCUAACGCAUUAAGUAUCCCGCCUGGGGAGUACGGCCGCAAAGGCUA
This 376-nucleotide ribosomal RNA is filed under the name uncultured organism. Its description in RNAcentral is "partial 16S ribosomal RNA". It matches the Rfam family "Bacterial small subunit ribosomal RNA", at positions 527 to 896 of the family's 1533-position model. The record is from RNAcentral.